Molecule: ribosomal RNA, 468 nt
Filed under: uncultured bacterium
Lineage: Bacteria
Description: partial 16S ribosomal RNA
Rfam family: Bacterial small subunit ribosomal RNA
Source: RNAcentral
GACGAACGCUGGCGGCGUGCUUAACACAUGCAAGUCGAACGGAAAGGCCCUGCUUUUGUGGGGUGCUCGAGUGGCGAACGGGUGAGUAACACGUGAGUAACCUGCCCUUGACUUUGGGAUAACUUCAGGAAACUGGGGCUAAUACCGGAUAGGAGCUCCUGCUGCAUGGUGGGGGUUGGAAAGUUUCGGCGGUUGGGGAUGGACUCGCGGCUUAUCAGCUUGUUGGUGGGGUAGUGGCUUACCAAGGCUUUGACGGGUAGCCGGCCUGAGAGGGUGACCGGCCACAUUGGGACUGAGAUACGGCCCAGACUCCUACGGGAGGCAGCAGUGGGGAAUAUUGCACAAUGGGAGGAAGUCUGAUGCAGCAACGCCGCGUGCGGGAUGACGGCCUUCGGGUUGUAAACCGCUUUCGCCUGUGACGAAGCGUGAGUGACGGUACUGGGUAAAGAAGCACCGGCUAACUACGUG